This 429-nucleotide ribosomal RNA is filed under the name uncultured Acidobacterium sp. Its description in RNAcentral is "bacterial SSU rRNA". It matches the Rfam family "Bacterial small subunit ribosomal RNA", at positions 958 to 1385 of the family's 1533-position model. Lineage: Bacteria; Pseudomonadati; Acidobacteriota; Terriglobia; Terriglobales; Acidobacteriaceae. The record is from RNAcentral.
AACGCGAAGAACCUUACCUGGGCUCGAAAUGCAGGAGACCGGGGUAGAAAUAUCCUUUCCUCGCAAGAGGCUGCUGUAUAGGUGCUGCAUGGCUGUCGUCAGCUCGUGUCGUGAGAUGUUGGGUUAAGUCCCGCAACGAGCGCAACCCUCAUCCCUAGUUGCCACCGGGUAAUGCCGAGCACUCUAGUGAAACCGCCCCGGAUAACGGGGAGGAAGGUGGGGAUGACGUCAAGUCCUCAUGGCCUUUAUGUCCAGGGCUACACACGUGCUACAAUGGUCGGUACAAACCGUCGCAAAGCCGCAAGGUGGAGCUAAUCGGAAAAAGCCGGCCUCAGUUCGGAUUGGAGUCUGCAACUCGACUCCAUGAAGCUGGAAUCGCUAGUAAUCGCAGAUCAGAACGCUGCGGUGAAUACGUUCCCGGGCCUUGUA